AGUGAACGCUGGCGGUAGGCCUAACACAUGCAAGUCGAACGGCAGCACAGCAGAGCUUGCUCUGUGGGUGGCGAGUGGCGGACGGGUGAGGAAUACAUCGGAAUCUACUCUUUCGUGGGGGAUAACGUAGGGAAACUUACGCUAAUACCGCAUACGACCUACGGGUGAAAGCGGAGGACCUUCGGGCUUCGCGCGAUUGAAUGAGCCGAUGUCGGAUUAGCUAGUUGGCGGGGUAAAGGCCCACCAAGGCGACGAUCCGUAGCUGGUCUGAGAGGAUGAUCAGCCACACUGGAACUGAGACACGGUCCAGACUCCUACGGGAGGCAGCAGUGGGGAAUAUUGGACAAUGGGCGCAAGCCUGAUCCAGCCAUACCGCGUGGGUGAAGAAGGCCUUCGGGUUGUAAAGCCCUUUUGUUGGGAAAGAAAAGCAGUCGGUUAAUACCCGAUUGUUCUGACGGUACCCAAAGAAUAAGCACCGGCUAACUUCGUGCCAGCAGCCGCGGUAAUACGAAGGGUGCAAGCGUUACUCGGAAUUACUGGGCGUAAAGCGUGCGUAGGUGGUUGUUUAAGUCUGUUGUGAAAGCCCUGGGCUCAACCUGGGAAUUGCAGUGGAUACUGGGCAACUAGAGUGUGGUAGAGGGUAGUGGAAUUCCCGGUGUAGCAGUGAAAUGCGUAGAGAUCGGGAGGAAC
Molecule: ribosomal RNA, 690 nt
Filed under: Xanthomonas campestris
Lineage: Bacteria; Pseudomonadati; Pseudomonadota; Gammaproteobacteria; Lysobacterales; Lysobacteraceae
Description: bacterial SSU rRNA
Rfam family: Bacterial small subunit ribosomal RNA
Source: RNAcentral